This 460-nucleotide ribosomal RNA is filed under the name uncultured bacterium. RNAcentral describes it as "partial 16S ribosomal RNA". It matches the Rfam family "Bacterial small subunit ribosomal RNA", at positions 338 to 795 of the family's 1533-position model. The record is from RNAcentral.
CCUACGGGAGGCAGCAGUGAGGAAUAUUGGUCAAUGGACGCGAGCCUGAACCAGCCAAGUAGCGUGAAGGAUGACUGCCCUAUGGGUCGUAAACCUCUUUUAUAAAGGAAUAAAGUGUGGCACGUGUGCCUUUUUGUAUGUACUUUAUGAAUAAGGAUCGGCUAACUCCGUGCCAGCAGCCGCGGUAAUACGGAGGAUCCGAGCGUUAUCCGGAUUUAUUGGGUUUAAAGGGAGCGUAGAUGGGUUGUUAAGUCAGUUGUGAAAGUUUGCGGCUCAACCGUAAAAUUGCAAUUGAUACUGGCAGUCUUGAGUACAGUUGAGGUAGGCGGAAUGCGUGGUGUAGCGGUGAAAUGCUUAGAUAUCACGAAGAACCCCGAUUGCGAAGGCAGCUUACUAAGCUGUGACUGACAUUGAUGCUCGAAAGUGUGGGUAUCAAACAGGAUUAGAUACCCCAGUAGUC